AGAACGAACGCUGGCGGCAUGCCUAAUACAUGCAAGUCGAACGAACACUUCGGUGUUAGUGGCGCACGGGUGCGUAACGCGUGGGAAUCUGCCCUUGGGUUCGGAAUAACAGUUGGAAACGACUGCUAAUACCGGAUGAUAUCGAAAGAUCAAAGAUUUAUCGCCCAGGGAUGAGCCCGCGUAGGAUUAGCUAGUUGGUGAGGUAAAGGCUCACCAAGGCGACGAUCCUUAGCUGGUCUGAGAGGAUGAUCAGCCACACUGGGACUGAGACACGGCCCAGACUCCUACGGGAGGCAGCAGUAGGGAAUAUUGGACAAUGGGCGCAAGCCUGAUCCAGCAAUGCCGCGUGAGUGAUGAAGGCCUUAGGGUUGUAAAGCUCUUUACCGAGAUGAUAAUGACAGUAUCGGAGAAUAAGCCCCGGACUAACCUCCGUGCCGAGCGAGCCGCGGU
Molecule: ribosomal RNA, 450 nt
Filed under: uncultured soil bacterium
Lineage: Bacteria
Description: bacterial SSU rRNA
Rfam family: Bacterial small subunit ribosomal RNA
Source: RNAcentral